UAGCAUAUCAAUAAGCGGAGGAAAAAGAAACUAACAAGGAUUCCCCUAGUAACUGCGAGUGAAGCGGGAAAAGCUCAAAUUUAAAAUCUGGCGGUCUUCGAUCGUCCGAGUUGUAGUCUGGAGAAGCGUCUUCCGCGCUGGACCGUGUACAAGUCUCUUGGAACAGAGCGUCGUAGAGGGUGAGAAUCCCGUCUUUGACACGGACUACCAGUGCUUUGUGAUGCGCUCUCAAAGAGUCGAGUUGUUUGGGAAUGCAGCUCAAAAUGGGUGGUAAAUUCCAUCUAAAGCUAAAUAUUGGCGAGAGACCGAUAGCGAACAAGUACCGUGAGGGAAAGAUGAAAAGCACUUUGGAAAGAGAGUUAAACAGUACGUGAAAUUGCUGAAAGGGAAACGAUUGAAGUCAGUCGCGUCGUCUAGAACUCAACCUUGCCUCGGCUCGGUGCAUUUUCUAGUUGACGGGCCAGCAUCAGUUUUGACCGUUGGAAAAAGGUCCUUGGAAUGUGGCACCUUCGGGUGUGUUAUAGCCUCGGGUCGUAUACGACGGUUGGGACUGAGGACCGCAGCACGCCUUUAUGGCCGGGGUUCGCCCACGUACGUGCUUAGGAUGCUGGCGUAAUGGCUUUAAACGACCCGUCUUGAAACACGGACCAAGGAGUCUAACAUGCCUGCGAGUGUUUGGGUGGUAAACCCGAGCGCGUAACGAAAGUGAAAGUUGGGAUCCCUGUCGUGGGGAGCACCGACGCCCACACCAGACCUUCUGUGACGGAUGUGCGGUUGAGCAUGUAUGUUGGGACCCGAAAGAUGGUGAACUAUGCCUGAAUAGGGUGAAGCCAGAGGAAACUCUGGUGGAGGCUCGUAGCGAUUCUGACGUGCAAAUCGAUCGUCAAAUUUGGGGUAUAGGGGCGAAAGACUAAUCGAACUAUCUAGUAGCUGGUUCCUGCCGA
This 944-nucleotide ribosomal RNA is filed under the name Phlebia radiata. RNAcentral's name for it is "LSU rRNA". It matches the Rfam family "Eukaryotic large subunit ribosomal RNA", at positions 36 to 964 of the family's 3401-position model. Lineage: Eukaryota; Fungi; Basidiomycota; Agaricomycetes; Polyporales; Meruliaceae. The record is from RNAcentral.